Molecule: long non-coding RNA, 489 nt
Organism: Lutra lutra (Eurasian river otter)
Lineage: Eukaryota; Metazoa; Chordata; Mammalia; Carnivora; Mustelidae
Exons: 3
Source: RefSeq, a predicted model, not a curated record
UGUUUCAGCCUCUAGCCUUCAUGGAGCUCUAGUCACUCUCCUCUAAACUCUGAACCUAUGGGGUUUAACUAUCAGAAUCACACAAAUCAGCUGUUUCAAAACAGCAUAGCAGUCUCAGAAUCAGAAGUGACUGGGGAUGGAACUGGCCCGUGACUGAGCCUCACAAAAGCCCAGCAGCUUCAUCUGUAACACUCGAAUAACAAUACCCACACUUCACUUCACAGGGUUGGUGGAAAGAUUAACUAUGGAUCCAGAAGCAACUUCCAAAGCAUAACACCCCUAAAAUGCAAUUGGUUUUCAGCAAUUAUUAUUCCUCGUUCCCUAAAGAAGAGGUGUUAGAGAACAAGAAUGUUCUUUGCAUAUGAACUUCUCAAAUAGUACGAAAUAGCAGGAAUCAUACACUAUUGGUAAUAUAUGCAGAACUGAGAGGUUCUUAUAACCAUCAAAGGAACAAAAUACUCAAGGACAACAACAUUUAGCACUUGAUUA